UACGUAGGGACCGAGCGUUGUCCGGAUUCAUUGGGCGUAAAGAGCUCGUAGGCGGCUGCUCAAGUCGAAUGUGAAAACUCGAGGCUCAACCUCGAGCCUGCAUUCGAUACUGGGCGGCUAGAGUCUGGUAGGGGGAUCUGGAAUACCUGGUGUAGUGGUGAAAUACGUAGAUAUCAGGUGGAACACCGGAGGCGAAGGCGGGUGACUGGCCAAACACUGACCCUGAGGCCCGAAAGCGUGGGGAUCAAACAGG
Molecule: ribosomal RNA, 253 nt
Filed under: uncultured bacterium
Lineage: Bacteria
Description: partial 16S ribosomal RNA
Rfam family: Bacterial small subunit ribosomal RNA
Source: RNAcentral